RNAcentral lists this ribosomal RNA (468 nucleotides) under uncultured bacterium. RNAcentral describes it as "partial 16S ribosomal RNA". It matches the Rfam family "Bacterial small subunit ribosomal RNA", at positions 28 to 507 of the family's 1533-position model. The record is from RNAcentral.
GACGAACGCUGGCGGCGUGCUUAACACAUGCAAGUCGAACGGAAAGGCCCUGCUUUUGUGGGGUGCUCGAGUGGCGAACGGGUGAGUAACACGUGAGUAACCUGCCCUUGACUUUGGGAUAACUUCAGGAAACUGGGGCUAAUACCGGAUAGGAGCUCCUGCUGCAUGGUGGGGGUUGGAAAGUUUCGGCGGUUGGGGAUGGACUCGCGGCUUAUCAGCUUGUUGGUGGGGUAGUGGCUUACCAAGGCUUUGACGGGUAGCCGGACUGAGAGGGUGACCGGCCACAUUGGGACAGAGGUACGGCCCAGACUCCUACGGGAGGCAGCAGUGGGGAAUAUUGCACAAUGGGCGGAAGCCUGAUGCAGCAACGCCGCGUGCGGGAUGACGGCCUUCGGGUUGUAAACCGCUUUCGCCUGUGACGAAGCGUGAGUGACGGUAAUGGGUAAAGAAGCACCGGCUAACUACGUG